Long non-coding RNA from Antechinus flavipes (yellow-footed antechinus), 530 nucleotides. RefSeq lists it as uncharacterized. Lineage: Eukaryota; Metazoa; Chordata; Mammalia; Dasyuromorphia; Dasyuridae. The transcript is spliced from 2 exons. The record is from RefSeq and is a predicted model, not a curated record.
CAGUCUCAGCUGAAACUCUUUGCUAUAUUAGGCAUCUAUUACAUGCCGAUUGUGGUCUUGGAUACAACUACAAGAAGGAAAUAACCCCUGUCCUCCAAGUAUCUGUUACUUCGGGGAAAGAGUCAUUAGGAUCAUGUAGGAAAACCAACAUUGCCCAAACGAUGGGGGCUCAUUUCUCAGACUCAUUGGACCAAAAAGAGACAUCGGAUUUGCUCUUCUGGCUCCCGGGGAAAAUUCAGGACUGGCUUCUCCAGGCCCCUCAUGUGAUCCACUCCCGGCGCAGAGCACGUGCUCCCCAACACUCUGACUGGGUCCCAAGUGGGGCUUUAUUCUGGGAAAAACCACUGCCGGCAACAACAAGCCCAGAAAGGCCAGAAAAUAAAGUUCCCUGAAUCACCCCCCUUUGUCAGGGGAACAUCAGACAGUUGGAAGCUGCAGUGAGUUCUGCUGUCCUCUCAGUCACGCGGAUUCUGCUUCUCUCUAACCCGGGGAGGGUUUGCAGCCCAGUAAUGUGCUUUUAACGUCUUCCA